GAAGACGGCAUACGAGAUGUGCGGACGUGACUGGAGUUCAGACGUGUGCUCUUCCGAUCUGGCUAAAUACUCCCGAGAGACCGAUAGUGAACCAGUACCGCGAGGGAAAGGUGAAAAGUACCCCGAGCAGGGGGGUGAAAUAGACCCUGAACCCGCGCGCCUACAAGCGGUCGGAGCUGCCUUGUGCAGUGACGGCGUGCCUUUUGCAUAAUGAGCCUACGAGUUAGUCGUCACCAGCGAGGUUAAGGGCUUCAGGCCCGUCAGCCGAAGUGAAAGCGAGCCUUAACAGGGCGUGAAGUUGGUGGCGCUAGACGCGAAACCUUGUGAUCUACCCACGAGCAGGUUGAAGUCGCGGUAACACGUGAUGGAGGACCGAACCGGUAAACGUUGAAAAGUUUUCGGAUGACUCGCGGGUAGGGGUGAAAGGCCAAUCAAACUGGGAAAUAGCUCGUACUCUCCGAAAUGCAUUUCGGUGCAGCCUGUGAUGUUCUGUUCCAGAGGUAGAGCUACUGGUUGGACGCGAGGGCUUCACCGCCUAUCAAAUCCGGAUAAACUCCGAAUGCUGGAACACGAAAUCAUGGAGUGAGCCCGCGGGUGCUAAGGUCCGCGGACGAGAGGGAAAGAACCCGGACCACCGGCUAAGGUCCCGGAUGGACAGUUAAGUUGAUCAAACGAGGUGGGAUCGCGGAGACAGCUAGGAUGUUGGCUUGGAAGCAGCCAUUCAUUUAAAGAGUGCGUAACAGCUCACUAGUCGAGCGAUCCCGCGUGGAUAAUACACGGGCAUCAAACUGUCAACCGAAGCCGUGGGGUCAGCGAAAAGCUGACCGGUAGGAGAGCAUUCCUGCCAGCGUUGAAGGUCACCCGCGAGAGUGACUGGAGCGGCAUGAAAAGCAAAUGUAGGCAUAAGUAACGAUAAUGGGGGCGAGAACCCCCCACGCCGCAAGACCAAGGCUUCCCCGGCAAUGUCAAUCAGCCGGGGGUCAGCCGGCCUCUAAGGCUAACCCGAAGGGGGAUGCCGACGAGAAACGGGUUAACAUUCCCGUGCUUCUCGUCACCGUGACGCGGUGACGGGGUGAUGAAUGGACCGCGCGCUGACGGAAUAGCGCGUUGAAGGCCGUACCCUUCGAGGGUGGUAGUCAAGCACGCCACCCGAGGCGAUAGCCGAUAGUACCACGAGACUCCGGUCGAGUGGAUAGCGUCCAGGCAAUUUACCCCCGAGAAAACCCGCUAAACUUCAAGUGACGAGGAACCGUACUGUAAACGGACACACGUGGUCGGGUAGAACAUACCAAGGCGCUCGAGUGAUUCAUGGUCAAGGAACUAGGCAAAAUAGUCCUGUAACUUCGGGAAAAAGGACGCUCUAGUGAUAGAGCCGCAGAGUAAUGGCCCAGGCGACUGUUUACCAAAAACACAGGGCUGUGCCAAAUCGAAAGAUGACGUAUAUGGCCUGACACCUGCCCGGUGCCGGAAGGUUAAGAGGAGAGCUCAUCGGAAACGAGAAGGUUUGAAUUGAAGCCCCGGUAAACGGCGGCCGUAACUAUAACGGUCCUAAGGUAGCGAAAUUCCUUGUCGGGUAAGUUCCGACCUGCACGAAUGGUGUAACGAUCUGGGCACUGUCUCGACCAUGAGCUCGGUGAAAUUGUAGUUCCGGUGAAGAUGCCGGGUACCCGCGACGGGACGGAAAGACCCCGUGAACCUUUACUGCAGCUUCGCGUUGUUCCCGGGCACGGGACGUGUAGGAUAGGUCGGAGGCUACGAUUCGGUUUCGCCAGGAAUCGAGGAGCCAUCGUUGAAAUACGACCCUUCUCUUGUCUGGGAUCUAACCCUAGGUACAGGUAUUGUUACCAAAAUCAUUUUCUGAAUCCGGAUCAUUUUCAUCCUUUUCAAAAUUAGCCCCUAAAUCAAUAAGUUUAUUUAUAUUAUCCAUUGAUUCUUCAACUAAAACCCUAACAGAAUCAAUGUUAUUUUCAUACUUUCCAGCUUUUAAAGUAUCUUCAAUGAAUGACUGGAAAUCUUCUUUUCCUCUAGCUACUGCAAUCCCCCCCUGAGCUAGGGAAGAAUUGCAUAAAUUAACUGACUUUUUUGAAACCAUAAUUAUUUCUAAAUCUUCUCUUAAGUUUAAUGAGGCAUAUAGUCCUGCUACCCCACUUCCAACUAUUAAUACAUCAGCUACCCUUUUCAUAGUUUUAGCCCCCAAGUUUAUGCAUAUUUUUUAAUGAAUUAUAUGCCUUUAAUCUUAAAUCCUCAUCUAUUUCAAUUUUAUUUUCCAUUUUUAAAAGACUUUCAUAAAGAUCCUUUAAGGUAGUCAUUUUCAUAUUUCUACAAACCAUCUUUCCAUAUGGAAUAUAAAAUUCUUUUUCCUCUCCAUUUUUUCUCAACUGAUGAAGUACCCCUUCUUCUGUUAUUAUAAUAAAUUUUUUAUUUGAAGAAUUAUUUACAAAAUUUAUUAU
Molecule: ribosomal RNA, 2450 nt
Filed under: human gut metagenome
Description: bacterial LSU rRNA
Rfam family: Bacterial large subunit ribosomal RNA
Source: RNAcentral